Molecule: small RNA, 619 nt
Filed under: Pan troglodytes (chimpanzee)
Lineage: Eukaryota; Metazoa; Chordata; Mammalia; Primates; Hominidae
Description: retained intron
Source: RNAcentral
GCAGUCGGUGACGGGACACAGUGGUUGGUGACGGGACAGAGCGGUCGGUGACAGCCUCAAGGGCUUCAGCACCGCGCCCAUGGCAGAACCAGACCGACUCAGAUUCAGACUCUGAGGGAGGAGCCGCUGGUGGAGAAGCAGACAUGGACUUCCUGCGCAACUUAUUCUCCCAGACGCUCAGCCUGGGCAGCCAGAAGGAGCGUCUGCUGGACGAGCUGACCUUGGAAGGGGUGGCCCGGUACAUGCAGAGCGAACGCUGUCGCAGAGUCAUCUGUUUGGUGGGAGCUGGAAUCUCCACAUCCGCAGGCAUCCCCGACUUUCGCUCUCCAUCCACCGGCCUCUAUGACAACCUAGAGAAGUACCAUCUUCCCUACCCAGAGGCCAUCUUUGAGAUCAGCUAUUUCAAGAAACAUCCGGAACCCUUCUUCGCCCUCGCCAAGGAACUCUAUCCUGGGCAGUUCAAGUUUCCUCAUCUGUGAUCUGGGGAUAGCGGUGGUCUCUCCCCGACGCGGCUGCUGUGAUGGUUCCCUGGGGGUAAAACAGUCGCAGUGCCUAGAACAGUUCCUGGCAUGUGGCAGUGGCCUGUGGCUGUUCCCUACAGUCAUCAGCAGUGCUGUCG